RNAcentral lists this ribosomal RNA (513 nucleotides) under uncultured bacterium. Its description in RNAcentral is "partial 16S ribosomal RNA". It matches the Rfam family "Bacterial small subunit ribosomal RNA", at positions 28 to 523 of the family's 1533-position model. The record is from RNAcentral.
GAUGAACGCUGGCGGCGUGCCUAAUACAUGCGAGUCGAGCGAACAGACGAGAAGCUUGCUUCUCUGAUGUUAGCGGCGAACGGGUGAGUAACACGUGGGUAACCUACCUAUAAGACUGGGAUAACUCCGGGAAACCGGGGCUAAUACCGGAUAAUAUUUUGAACCGCAUGGUUCGAUAGUGAAAGACGGUUUCGGCUGUCACUUAUAGAUGGACCCGCGCCGUAUUAGCUAGUUGGUAAGGUAACGGCUUACCAAGGCGACGAUACGUAGCCGACCUGAGAGGGUGGUCGGCCACACUGGAACUGAGACACGGUCCAGACUCCUACGGGAGGCAGCAGUAGGGAAUCUUCCGCAAUGGGCGAAAGCCUGACGGAGCAACGCCGCGUGAGUGAGGAAGGUCUUCGGAUCGUAAAACUCUGUUGUUAGGGAAGAACAAAUUUGUUAGUAACUGAACAAGUCUUGGCGGUACCUAACCAGAAAGCCACGGCUAACUACGUGCCAGCAGCGCGGUAA